RNAcentral lists this ribosomal RNA (586 nucleotides) under Cytospora leucosperma. RNAcentral's name for it is "partial large subunit ribosomal RNA". It matches the Rfam family "Eukaryotic large subunit ribosomal RNA", at positions 48 to 657 of the family's 3401-position model. Lineage: Eukaryota; Fungi; Ascomycota; Sordariomycetes; Diaporthales; Cytosporaceae. The record is from RNAcentral.
AAACGGAGGAAAAGAAACCAACAGGGAUUGCCCUAGUAACGGCGAGUGAAGCGGCAACAGCUCAAAUUUGAAAGCUGGCUCCGGCCCGCAUUGUAAUUUGCAGAGGAUGCUUUUGGCGAGGUGCCUUCCGAGUUCCCUGGAACGGGACGCCAUAGAGGGUGAGAGCCCCGUAUGGAUGGACACCAGACCUGUGUAAAGCUCCUUCAACGAGUCGAGUAGUUUGGGAAUGCUGCUCUAAAUGGGAGGUAAAUCUCUUCUAAAGCUAAAUACCGGCCAGAGACCGAUAGCGCACAAGUAGAGUGAUCGAAAGAUGAAAAGCACCUUGAAAAGGGGGUUAAACAGUACGUGAAAUUGUUGAAAGGGAAGCAUUUAUGACCAGACUUGCGCCGGGCAGCUCAUCAGGGGUUCUCCCCUGUGCACUCUGCCCGGCUCAGGCCAGCAUCGGUUCUCGUGGGAGGAUAAGAACAGUGGGAACGUGGCCCCCCUCCGGGGGGGUGUUAUAGCCCAUUGUACGAUACUCUCGUGGGGACCGAGGUUCGCGCUCCGCAAGGAUGCUGGCGUAAUGGUCAUCAAUGACCCGUCUUAA